CUGGUUGAUCCUGCCAGUAAUUAUAUGCUUGUCUCAAAGAUUAAGCCAUGCAUGUAUCAGUUCAUGUCCUAGUACGACGAAACCGCGAAUGGCUCAUUAAAUCAGCUAUUAUUUCUUGGAUCUUACACAAUUACUUGGAUAACUGUAGUAAUUCUAGAGCUAAUACAUGACAAUGUGCCACAGCGCUUGCGCUGUGUGCGAAUUUAUUAGAUCAAAACCAACCAGCUUCGGCUGCUUGUUUGUUAACUCUGGAUAACUGACCUGAUCGCAUGACCUUGUGUCGGCGACGUAUCUUUCAAGUGUCUGCCCUAUCAACUGACGUUGGUAGUGUAAAUGACUACCAUGGUUGUGACGGGUAACGGGGAAUCAGGGUUCGAUACCGGAGAGGGAGCCUUAGAAACGGCUACCACAUCUAAGGAAGGCAGCAGGCGCGCAAAUUACCCACUCUCAGUUCGAGGAGGUAGUGACGAAAAAUAACGAUAUGGAACUCAUUACGAGGCUCCAUAAUUGGAAUGAGUACAGUGUAAAAAACUUAACGAGUACCAAUUGGAGGGCAAGUCUGGUGCCAGCAGCCGCGGUAAUUCCAGCUCCAAUAGCGUAUAUUAAAUUUGUUGCGUUUAAAAAGCUCGUAGUUGGAUCUCAGGUUGAGUUUGGCGGACUGGGCUUUGUUCUAUGCUCCGUCAUACCGACCUUUCAUAGCCGUUUGUUGCCCUAUGGUGCUCUUCACUGAGCGCCGUAUGGGUACUCGGCACGUUUACCUUGAAAAAAUCAGAGUGCUCAAAGCAGGCCUUCGUGCUUGUAUAUUGUUGCAUGGAAUAAUGGAACAGGACUUCGGUACUAUUUUGUUGUGUUUUGAGUGCCGAAGUAAUGAAUAAUAGAGACAGACGGGGGCAUUUGUAUGCCGGUGUUAGAGGUGAAAUUCUGAGAUCGCCGGCAGACAAACUACUGCGAAAGCAUUUGCCAAGUAUGUCUUCAUUAAUCAAGAACGAAAGUCGGAGGUUCGAAAACGAUUAGAUACCGUUGUAGUUCCGACCAUAAACUAUGUCAACAUAUAAUCGGGGGUGGUUAUAUUUCUAUUGACCCUCCCGGCUAUACCCGGGAAACCUAAGUUGGAUUCCGGGGGGAAUAUGGUCCCAAGGCCGAAACUUAAAGGAAUUGACGGAAGGGCACCACCAGGAGUGGAGCCUGCGGCUUAAUUUGACUCAACACGGGGAAUCUCACCCGGUCCGGACACUGUUAGGAUGGACAGAUUGACAGCUCUUUCUUGAUUCAGUGGGUGGUGGUGCAUGGCCGUUCUUAGUUGGUGGAGUGAUUUGUCUGGUUAAUUCCGAUAACGAACGAGACUCUGUCCUGCUAACUAGUCCACUAGCAUUGGUCACUUGCGUGACACAGCUAUUGCUGACUUCUUAGAGGGAUUCGCGGAUUCAACCCGCACGAAAUGGAGCAAUAACAGGUCUGUGAUGCCCUUAGAUGUCCGGGGCCGCACGCGCGCUACAUUGACAGUAACAGCGAGUAUUUCCACCUGGUCUGAAAAGAUUGGGAAAUCUUCGAAUUACUGUCUCCACAGGGAUUGAGGUUUGCAAUUAUCCCUCAUGAACGAGGAAUUCCCAGUAGGCGCAAGUCAUCAGCUUGCGUCGAUUACGUCCCUGCCCUUUGUACACACCGCCCGUCGCUACUACCGAUUGGAUGGGUUAGUGAGGACCUCGGAUUGAGAACUUUGUGACGUAAAGUCAUAUUGUGCUCGAAAAGUGGUUCGAACUUGUCUAUCUAGAGGAAGUAAAAGUCGUAACAAGGUUUCCGUAGGUGAACCUGCAGAUGGAUCA
RNAcentral lists this ribosomal RNA (1823 nucleotides) under Kymocarens sp. NVS-2013. RNAcentral's name for it is "SSU rRNA". It matches the Rfam family "Eukaryotic small subunit ribosomal RNA". The record is from RNAcentral. Lineage: Eukaryota; Metazoa; Platyhelminthes; Rhabdocoela; Promesostomidae.